This 371-nucleotide ribosomal RNA is filed under the name uncultured bacterium. RNAcentral's name for it is "bacterial SSU rRNA". It matches the Rfam family "Bacterial small subunit ribosomal RNA", at positions 527 to 896 of the family's 1533-position model. The record is from RNAcentral.
GAAGGGUGCAAGCGUUACUCGGAAUUACUGGGCGUAAAGCGUGCGUAGGUGGUGAGUUAAGUCUGUCGUGAAAGCCCCGGGCUCAACCUGGGAAUGGCGAUGGAUACUGGCUCGCUAGAGUGCGGUAGAGGAGAGUGGAAUUCCCGGUGUAGCAGUGAAAUGCGUAGAGAUCGGGAGGAACAUCAGUUGCGAAGGCGGCUCUCUGGACCAGCACUGACACUGAGGCACGAAAGCGUGGGGAGCAAACAGGAUUAGAUACCCUGGUAGUCCACGCCCUAAACGAUGCGAACUGGACGUUGGGAGCAACUAGGCUCUCAGUGUCGAAGCUAAUGCGUUAAGUUCGCCGCCUGGGGAGUACGGUCGCAAGACUG